AGAUCUUGCUCCAAAGAGAUAAAUAAUUCAACAUCGAGGUCACAAUCUUUUUCUUUUAUGAGAACUUAAGGAAAAAAUUGUGCUGUUAUCCCUACGGUAGCUUGUUAAAUUCCCAGUUUGGGGAUAGAGUAGAGGUGAGAAAAAAGAUAUAGUUUUUUACCGCCCCAGCUCAACAAAAGUGAAGUUCGAUAGGGUCUUGUCGUCCUUCUCUUUUAUACAAGCUUUUUUACUUGAGUGAAAAGUUAAAAUAAUUUAGGUGAUAAAGAAAUUUAUAUGUCAAACCUUUCAUUCUAGCCUUCAAUUAAAAGGCAAAUGAUUAUGCUACCUUAGCACAAAAAAUAUUGCGGCUAUUUAAGAGAUCAUUGAGCAGGUUCUACUGAACAUAAAAUCGUUCAGAAAUGUUUUUGAUAAACAGACAAUAAAAUAAGGGCCGAGUUCAUGAACCUAAAGUUGGUUUAUUCUUUUGGCGGAGAAUUUAAAAGUAGAAGGAGUGCCAGAUGUUUUACUAAUGAAGUCAUUGUGAAAAUAUAAAGGAAAGGCUUCUUUUAAAAAAAUUUGGAGGAAAAAAAUAUAAAGUUUUUAAACUGGAAGACACUAUUAAUCCUUGACUUGAGUGAAUUUAAGGAGUGAAUAAUUAGAAAAAAGGAUUAUCCCUUUUAAAAUUUUAGUAUUACUACUUUUAAAGAUAACCAGAUAUCAUGGAAUGCGAGUGGAAUUUCAUCUCUAUUUCUCCUUUGAAAAACUUUAUGAAACAAGAUUGGCAAGGAGAAAUAGAUCAUUUCAAUUUCGGGAAUAUUUAUUAGAAAGUUAUGGUUGAAUUCCCCUGAUACAAAAGGUACAACAAUUUUCUAUUAAACAAUUAAGAGAUUCCCUUUCGGUUAAGGAAUAAAGAGAAAGAAAUGAACAGAACGGAAUAUUAUUUUAGACAAAAUUUCAAAUAGGCGGGUCU
RNAcentral lists this ribosomal RNA (949 nucleotides) under Aptostichus atomarius. RNAcentral describes it as "partial 16S ribosomal RNA". Lineage: Eukaryota; Metazoa; Arthropoda; Arachnida; Araneae; Euctenizidae. The record is from RNAcentral.